Long non-coding RNA from Lathyrus oleraceus (garden pea), 992 nucleotides. RefSeq lists it as uncharacterized. Lineage: Eukaryota; Viridiplantae; Streptophyta; Magnoliopsida; Fabales; Fabaceae. The transcript is spliced from 2 exons. The record is from RefSeq and is a predicted model, not a curated record.
UCCCACUCCUUGAAGCCACUCAUAAACAUAGUUGUCACGCAUAUAUAGGGGGAGACUCUCCACUCCCAACAGAUCUUUUCUUCACCAUACAGUACUCUCUCUCUCUAGUAAAAAUCAUUAUUCUUUUCCAAUUGAAAAGAGGAGAAUAGGUACAUAAAACCAAAAAGACCCCACAAAGUUGAGAUUUUUCCUGCAAAUAAAGGAUUCACCAUACACAACCAACGAUCCACUAAUUCCCUCUCUAUCUUCUUUAUUUUUUCUUUCUCAAGAUUAGAAAGGAAAAAGUAGAAGAAUAUCAAUAUUCUUCUCAGCCAAAAAACAGAUAACACACUCUGACCUUUCUUUUUCUUUCCUUAAAAACCAAUCUUUAUCACCCACCACAUAACCCAUAUUAUUUUCAACAAAACUCACAACUACUAACUCAACAAAAUCUCUCCUCCUACACCCACACGAAACCUAACUCCAUUACAAAUCCAUCAUGAUCUACACAAAGACCCAUAUUAUCCCUUCACCUUCGAUGAACAUCUUUCCUCAACAAUACCCUUCAACCACCACGAUUUCGGCCAUGCCUCAGAUUCCAUCCUUCAUCACUCACAAAAAAAGCAGAUCUGGAAAAGAAAAAGAAGGUGAACAAAAAAUCCAACAAAAUCCGAUGAACUUCUCAUGAUCACUACUCCACGCACAAAGCAACAUCGUCAUCCUGAAAACCGUCCUCCGCCGUGCAUACGAUCGGACCGCUGUUUGACUUACCUCCGUCCGCCGAAGAAUUUCAAACAUGCGUAUGGAUCCAAAUAUGGUGGUCUAGAAUUGUUUUUGACAUCAUGAUAUUGGUAUAGUAAUGUAAAUGUUGGUUUGUGUGCUUUUCAUUCGAUUAUGCUGCUUGUUUAAAAUUUUAGUAUAUGGAAUGUUCGGUCCAUAAUUAGGCAUUUACAUAUGCUCUAAUUAUGAUGUAAAUUGUAUAGAUAAAUUAUUCAAUGUAAAUAUUGCUUUAA